Molecule: long non-coding RNA, 1170 nt
Organism: Mauremys reevesii (Reeves's turtle)
Lineage: Eukaryota; Metazoa; Chordata; Testudines; Geoemydidae
Exons: 4
Source: RefSeq, a predicted model, not a curated record
CCUCCGCCCCAUCGGCUCGUACAGCGGGCGGGGGACAUCAGUCUCCACGCGCCCCCUGGGCUGUACCGCACAGCACUGCUGGCCCAAGUCAGAGGUGUGGCUGUGGCUCCUUACGAAGAGCCGUAGUUUGUGAACGAACUUUUGGGUGAAUACUCUGUGGGCCUGAUGACUUGCUGCUGUCACCAUAUCUCACAAGGAGUAGACAAGAGAGGGAACUGAAGAACCCAUGCCUAGGAAUGCCUGCUGCAGAGAUCCUACCUGAUCAUGCUGGAGCAUACCAAGAUGAGAUAGUUUUCCUUAGGUCAGGCCUGUUUGCUCUGUUCAUUAUGGAUGAUAUCACGCUGCUGAGGGUGAGCAGGGAAUCAAGUGAAGGUCUUCUCCAUGACUGCAGCUUCCAGCCCGGCCCUUAUGCGGCUCACCUGUGUGCAGCAGUGGUUCCACCCCCUCCUCACAGUGAUGACAGAGUGGUGUGGGAAAGUUACCGUUAAUGGGGCAAGAAACAAAGCAGCUCUGCCAAAGAACCUGCGGCAGCGGAUUGCCCAGUAUCUCCAUGAGAGUUUCCUGGAGAUCUGAGGCAGAUUCCUGUGAAGUGAGGGAGUCAAUCAGCACCCUGUUCUGCCGCUCAGACUAGGCACAUGGUGGUACAGGCAUCAUAGAGACACAAGCCUGCUUUCUGCAACCCUCCUACCCCCAGCAACUCACUUCAUUGAUUCCCAAAAUCAAAGCCACUUACCAGGGGCCUCCUCUCCUGUUUGCACUUCACUAAGAUCUAACAGCUGUGACUGGCUAGCCUCCUCUGGUGUAGAGAAGAGCUCCUGGCUGCAUGCAUUUCUGACCUCUGAGUCGUCCCCUGCCUCUGGGUCCCCCUCUACAUCCUUGUCCAAGAUUUCCUCCUCCUGGCUCGGUCCACUCUCGACUGGCAAGCAAGCCACUGAAGUAUCUACAGUGGCCUUCAUAGUGGAGGUUGGGUCACCACCGAGUAUUGCGACGACCACCUCUUUGUAGAACUGGCAGCUCGUGGGUGCAGCACCGGAGUGGCAGUUUGCCUCCUGCGCCUUGUGGUAGGUGUGCCGCAGCUCCUUCACUUUGACCCUGCACUGAAGUGUGUCACAGUCAUAGCCCCUUUCUGUCAUGCAUUGUGAAUUCUGUCCGAAGGUAUAAUUCCUACAU